This 496-nucleotide ribosomal RNA is filed under the name Cladosporium xanthochromaticum. RNAcentral describes it as "partial 18S ribosomal RNA". The stretch from base 167 to 319 matches the Rfam family "5.8S ribosomal RNA". The record is from RNAcentral. Lineage: Eukaryota; Fungi; Ascomycota; Dothideomycetes; Cladosporiales; Cladosporiaceae.
AGGGAUCAUUACAAGUGACCCCGGUUUACCACCGGGAUGUUCAUAACCCUUUGUUGUCCGACUCUGUUGCCUCCGGGGCGACCCUGCCUUCGGGCGGGGGCUCCGGGUGGACACUUCAAACUCUUGCGUAACUUUGCAGUCUGAGUAAACUUAAUUAAUAAAUUAAAACUUUUAACAACGGAUCUCUUGGUUCUGGCAUCGAUGAAGAACGCAGCGAAAUGCGAUAAGUAAUGUGAAUUGCAAAUUCAGUGAAUCAUCGAAUCUUUGAACGCACAUUGCGCCCCCUGGUAUUCCGGGGGGCAUGCCUGUUCGAGCGUCAUUUCACCACUCAAGCCUCGCUUGGUAUUGGGCAACGCGGUCCGCCGCGUGCCUCAAAUCGACCGGCUGGGUCUUCUGUCCCCUAAGCGUUGUGGAAACUAUUCGCUAAAGGGUGCUCGGGAGGCUACGCCGUAAAACAACCCCAUUUCUAAGGUUGACCUCGGAUCAGGUAGGGAUA